RNAcentral lists this ribosomal RNA (407 nucleotides) under Magnusiomyces capitatus. Its description in RNAcentral is "partial large subunit ribosomal RNA". It matches the Rfam family "Eukaryotic large subunit ribosomal RNA", at positions 62 to 504 of the family's 3401-position model. Lineage: Eukaryota; Fungi; Ascomycota; Dipodascomycetes; Dipodascales; Dipodascaceae. The record is from RNAcentral.
AAACCAACAGGGAUUGCCUUAGUAACGGCGAGUGAAGCGGCAAAAGCUCAAUUUGAAAACGCUUCGGCGUGUUGUAAGUAAAGUGGUUAGACGCUUUUUAAUAAGUCCCUUGGAACAGGGCGCCAUAGAGGGUGAUAGCCCCGUAUUAAAUUGUCUAGUGUGCUACUUUAGAGCGAGUCGAGUUGUUUGGGAAUGCAGCUCAAAUAGGUGGUAAACUCCAUCUAAAGCUAAAUAUUGCUGGGAGACCGAUAGCGAACAAGUACAGUGAUGGAAAGAUGAAAAGCACUUUGAAAAGAGAGUGAAAUAGCGUGUGAAAUUGUUGGAGGGGAAGGCGAUGGUAGGAAUAAGAGGCUGCGGUUUGAAAUAAUUAUUUUUCGGGCCACGGUCUCCUGAGCCUGCUUUCGCAC